GAUGAACGCUAGCGGCAGGCCUAAUACAUGCAAGUCGAACGGUGGUAGCAAUACCAUAGUGGCGCACGGGUGCGUAACACGUAUGCAACCUACCUUAUACAUGGGGAUAGCCUUUGGAAACGGAGAUUAAUACCCGAUAGUAAUAUUGACUGGCAUCGGUUAAUAUUUAAAGAUUUAUCGGUAUAAGCUGGGCAUGCGUCCAAUUAGUUAGUUGGUGAGGUAACGGCUCACCAAGACGAUGAUUGGUAGGGGAACUGAGAGGUUAAUCCCCCACACUGGCACUGAGAUACGGGCCAGACUCCUACGGGAGGCAGCAGUAGGGAAUAUUGGGCAAUGGAGGCAACUCUGACCCAGCCAUGCCGCGUGCAGGAAGAAGGCGUUAUGC
Molecule: ribosomal RNA, 385 nt
Filed under: uncultured bacterium
Lineage: Bacteria
Description: bacterial SSU rRNA
Rfam family: Bacterial small subunit ribosomal RNA
Source: RNAcentral